AACGAACGCUGGCGGCAUGCCUAACAUAUGCAAGUCGAACGAGACCUUCGGGUCUAGUGGCGCACGGGUGCGUAACGCGUGGGAACCUGCCCUUAGGUUCGGAAUAACUCCCCGAAAGGGGUGCUAAUACCGGAUAAUGUCUUCGGACCAAAGAUUUAUCGCCUUUGGAUGGGCCCGCGUUGGAUUAGCUAGUUGGUAGGGUAAAAGCCUACCAAGGCGACGAUCCAUAGCUGGUCUGAGGGGAUGAUCAGCCACACUGGGACUGAGACACGGCCCAGACUCCUACGGGAGGCAGCAGUGGGGAAUAUUGGACAAUGGGCGAAAGCCUGAUCCAGCAAUGCCGCGUGAGUGAUGAAGGCCUUAGGGUUGUAAAGCUCUUUUACCCGGGAUGAUAAUGACAGUACCGGGAGAAUAAGCUCCGGCUAACUCCGUG
Molecule: ribosomal RNA, 433 nt
Filed under: uncultured bacterium
Lineage: Bacteria
Description: partial 16S ribosomal RNA
Rfam family: Bacterial small subunit ribosomal RNA
Source: RNAcentral